RNAcentral lists this ribosomal RNA (492 nucleotides) under uncultured bacterium. Its description in RNAcentral is "partial 16S ribosomal RNA". It matches the Rfam family "Bacterial small subunit ribosomal RNA", at positions 29 to 507 of the family's 1533-position model. The record is from RNAcentral.
AGUGAACGCUGGCGGUAGGCCUAACACAUGCAAGUCGAACGGCAGCACAGUAAGAGCUUGCUCUUACGGGUGGCGAGUGGCGGACGGGUGAGGAAUACAUCGGAAUCUACUUUUUCGUGGGGGAUAACGUAGGGAAACUUACGCUACUACCGCAUACGACCUACGGGUGAAAGCAGGAGAUCUUCGGACCUUGCGCGAUUGAAUGAGCCGAUGCCGGAUUAGCUAGUUGGCGGGGUAAAGGCCCACCAAGGCGACGAUCCGUAGCUGGUCUGAGAGGAUGAUCAGCCACACUGGAACUGAGACACGGUCCAGACUCCUACGGGAGGCAGCAGUGGGGAAUAUUGGACAAUGGGCGCAAGCCUGAUCCAGCCAUACCGCGUGGGUGAAGAAGGUCUUCGGGUUGUAAAGCCCUUUUGUUGGGAAAGAAAAGCAGCAGGUUAAUACCCCGCUGUUCUGACGGUACCCAAAGAAUAAGCACCGGCUAACUUCGUG